UACGCUGCGUCUGCUCAGGCUGCGAGUUCCCGGCUCUGGGGACUCACCUUGCGGAGCUUACCCAGGCGGACUCUCCGCAGCCCCUGAUGGGUGUGUGUGUCAGACCGUUUACUAAACACCAGGACUGUUGUAGGCGACUAAAAGAAAACUGAGAUCCAGGAAAGGGAAGUGAUUUUCCAAAGACACACCUGUGAAAGGUGAGGAGAACAGCCCAGUGAGGCUGAGGCCACACAAUUAACCCCAGUCUUUGCACUACAACUCUACCAGGGAUCCUGGUUUGGCUCAUUUUCUUUCUUCUGCACCAUGAUUGUUCACCUUUUCAUUACCAGCAACAUACCCAAAGACCUAGCUAUAGACUCGUUGGAAUCUGUUACUUAGCAGCUGUGUGAAUCAAGUGUUCAAUAGGAAUAAUAAGAUGUAUUCAUCUUACCUUUUCAGAACAUUAUGAAGAACAAAUGUGGUAAGACAUAUGAAAAUGCUUUGUAAAGUGUUAGAUGCUUAAUACACAGAAGACAUUGCUUCCAGAUCUGUUUCAACGUACCCCAAGAAUGGAAUAAGUGGAAUAUGCUGGUUUCAUGCACUGUGGCAAGGGGGUCUCAUCUUGGCUAGACUUGAAUAAGUGGAUUUGUUGCCUGGCCUCUGUGGAUGGCUCUUUCUCUGGGCUUUUGUGUAUUUGAUUUUUUAUUUGCUCCAGCAGCCGUGUUGAACCAUGAAAGGACCUCAGGAAUGAAACCCACACACAGCAAAGCAACAAAGUGAAAGAAGCGUGGAUUCCUAAUGCAGGAGGCACUGAACCAAUCAAUACCCACUGCCCUCCAGACCUCCACAUGAAAGAAAAAAACUGCUGUCCUGUGUAAGACACUUUUAUUUUGUGUUUCUAUUGUAUGAGGUCAAACCUAAUAACAGAUAUAUUACACUCUAACAGAUACAUUACAUUGUAUAGUAGAAUUCUCAGACAGCAACCUUAUAAGGUGAUAGAUGCAGAAACAGGCCCAAAGAGUAAAAAUAAUUUGUUCAGAGUUUUCCAGCCAAGUGGCGAAGGUGAGAUUCUUACCUGGGUUUGUCUGAAACCAAUUUUCACUAUCUUUUUCAGUUAUGAUACACUGCCUAUUACGAAUGAAUGAAUCCUUUUUUUUUUUUCCAUUUACUUCCAUUUGAUUCAUUUAUUCCAGGGAGUGACACUUUUUCUGUAAAGGACCGAUAGUAAAUAUUUUAGACUUUGUGAGCAAUACAGUCUCUGUUGCAACUACUCAACUUUGUAAUGUAAAAGCAGCCAUAGACAAUAGUAAAUGAGUAGGUAUGACUAUGUUUCAAUAAAACUUUACUUACACAAGCAGGCAAUGGACAAUGUGGCCCAUGAGCCUUAGUUUGCCAACCCCUAAUGAAAUGGGAAAAGUUCCCUUGUCCCCUUCACAGGGCGUGCGAUGUGGGUGUGACUCACUUCUUCAGUCCCCACUGCACAAACCUCUAGGGAAGCAUACAGACAGGUAGGCUGUGGAGAUCUGACCCCACGGCAGUGUCUAGGGGUGACUGUUUACAGCCAAAGCCCCAGUGGGCACAUGUAGCAGGGUGCUCUUUUAGUUUAGCCGUCCGUGGGUGGCUUGUGUUAGCCAGCUCAAUUAAACCCCUGCCUUAUUGCAAGGACAGAGGGCUUUCUGUAUCUCGGGGUUCUUGCCUUGGUGUAGCAGAAGAAUUGGAUCACACGUGGGCUUGGAGAAUGAUUGCAAGGUUUUAUGGAGUGAAAGUAGCUCUCAGCAGGUGGAGGAGCCAAAAGGGAGAUGGUUUUCCCCUGGUGUCGGGCCGCUUGGCGGCCCAGGCUCUCCUCCCACUGCCCCAGCCAAACUCCAUGUCAUUCUGCCAGUUGGUGGCCUGCUGGCGUAAGUGUGUUCUCUCAACGUCCAGCUGCCCGCGUGUUCCUCCGCUGAUGUGCUCCUCUCGACGUCCAGCCGCCUGUUUGUCUACCUGCUAGGGUCUCAUGGUUUUUAUAGCACAGGAUGGGGGUGUGGCAGGCCAGGGUUGUCUUGGGAAAUGCAAUAUUUGGGCAGGAAAACAAAAUUAUGCCUGUCCUCACCUAGGUCCUUGGGCACACAUACGCAUGUCCCUGCCCCCUUCCCUAUCAUUUAAAGGGACACACCCUUCACUUCCCAGCACUUCUGUAUCACUAAUUUAUUGUAUUCUGAUGUUCCAUCACAAAAGUGCAUAGAGGACAUAUUAUAGAAGGUCCCCCACCUUCUGUGACAUUGUGAAAUUGCAAGCAUGCUCAUACUGCUGUCCAACAUAAGGGCUAAUGACAGUGUGGUUCAGAAGAUCCCUAAACUGACGGCCAUGAGUUCAUAUCUGCCAUUGCUACGAUUUGAAUGUGUCCCCAAGAAAGCAUGUAUUGGAAACUUAAUCCCCAAUGCAACAGUGUUGGGAGGUGAGGCCUAAUGAGAGGUGGUUAGGCCAUGCAGGCUUCACCCUCAUGAAUGGAUUAAUACCAUUGUCACAGGAAUUAGUUCAUUAUAAAAGGGCAAGUUUGAUUUCCCAACCCCUCUUUCUCACCCUCUCACCUUCUGCCAUGGGAUGACACAGGAAGAAGACACUCCCCAGAUGCCAGCAACUUGAUAUUGGACUUCCUGCCUUUAGAAACGUGAGAAAUAAAUUUUUUUUCUUUAUAAGUUACCCAGCCUCUGGCAUUCUGUUAUAGCAGCACAGAACAGACUAAGACAGCCACUGAAACCAGAUCUAUGUCCCGGACCACCCUCAUUUGCCUCAAUUUCUCUCUAUAUAUAAUAAGAACAAAUAAUGCAAAUGCUAUCUAUACUUCCCCGUGACUACAGGGAGACUAAGGGAUGAAAUAUAUAAUCACACUUUGAAAAUAUAUAAAUGUUAUCCAACCAUACAUCCAUUGUUUCACAUCAGGCUGGGCCACAUAGCUUCCUCUGUACCCUUUAGUUUCCUGCCCUUAUCUCUAUCACAGGCCAUAUAUCAAAUGCCUAGUAAUUAUCAGUGCAUCUAUAUAUUCCCUAUUCUCCCCAACAAUACAUAAAAGGUUAUUGCAUUGCAUUGAAUUAUAAGACUUGAUUACUGGAAAGUCUAGACAUCACUCAGGGUCAUUGUGGGGCAGCAUGGGGAUUAUGCAGUGUCAUUAUCCACUAAGCACACUGGAGGUCACACCAGUGAAGUAGCACGUCAGAUGUAAGCAAGACAGAGCUGGGUUGUGAAACUCUGGAACCAGCUGAGCUGAAAGUUUGUGUAAUUUCCUUCCUGCUCAGAGAUGGUUCCAUAUAGUAGACAGAGAGGAGACACGGAGCUUCUCUGGUAAGCUGUGGAGGCCCUGUAAUGCUCUAACUGCAUUCUAUGAAAGCUUUUCCUGCAUUAGCAACCUGCCCAUUACCAGAGAAAAGAGAUAUUUUCCCUAAGAUUCUUAGAAUCAUAGCACAGAAAUAGAUCUUAUUAUUCAUUUAUUCAUUCCUACAUUUAUGUAUUCAUUCAUUCAACAAAGAUUUAUUGAGUACUGUUCUAGGCAUUAAAGAGAUAGUGUUUGAGAUGAACAGAUAUUUUCCUUGUCCUCAUGGAACUUACAGUCAGGAAACACAUUAAAGAAAUAAACACACAAAUAUGUAGUUGAUUCAAGUGCAAGUAGAAAGGAAAACAGAAAACUGUAAGAGAGGGAAGCUGAUUUUGAUUGAAGUUUAAUUUAGAGUGGGGAUUUUGAAGAGGCAGAUAACAUUACACACAUUGUUUCUGGUCUCAACAACUCUAUGAAGUGCCUAUUAUCACAACUAUUGUACAGAUAGGGAAACCGAGGUUUAUGGAAAUUGGGUGACUGGGCUAGGGAAGCACUAUUAGUAAGUUUGGAGCAGGUUGUGCUCUCUCUGGUACUCCGUGCUGCAUAACAGAAACCCGGAAGGUGAAAAUUUUCCCACUUCCCACCUUUGCACAUACCAUGCCUACUUCCACCUAAAAUGCCUCUCCCUUCAUUCUUAUUGGAUUCAUAUUCUGCCAUCAGUAUCUAGUUGAGGAUGUACCUCCUCUGUAAAGUUCCUCCUUCUAUCUCAAUAAAUCUCUUUUCUUGUAGGAUUCCUGCAACAAUCAUCAAAUAUUACUUACAUGGCCUUGAACCUAGGAUAGCUUGUCAAGUUAAUUCUCUUUUUCACAUGCUUGCCCUGAUGCUCUUACUCAGAGGCCUACAGACAGUACAAUGCCAUUAGAGCCAGACAGACUUGGGCCUUCUCCCAGUUCUACAGAUUGUUUGAUGGAUGAGCUGAAGAAAGUUUCUUAAUCUCUCUGAACCUUAGAUUCUCCUUGGAGAAUGAUUAUAUCUUACAAAAUACCUUUAAGCAUUUGUCACAGUACUCAACAGACAGAUAAUGUUUGAUACCCCUUCAUCUUCUAACCAAUUCCAUUUUCUAGAUUGGAAGCCUCUGGAGGGCAAAAACCUGGAAUUCUACUUCACAAUCUCAGCAACUAGCAUUGUGCUCUAUAAUAGCAGUGAUUAAUACCUGGUAUAUAAUUAUGGUGAUGACAGCCCUUACCUGCCUACUGCAUCUCUCAUUACUAAUAAGAUUUGUUUUCUCCUAUCUUUCUUCCUUUCUUUCUUUCGCCAUUUAGAUUCCUUUAAGCCUCUCUGAAACUUGACCCUCUGGCAGGAACAGGUGCCAUUACAUACAGACACUCUCUCUCUUCCAAAUUCACCCUGUCAUAUCAAAGGGAAAACUGAAGUGGUCCACUGUAGACCUGACAGAUGAUCACAAACAGGAAACCAGCAAUCAGAAGUGCCUACUGAGCUCCCUACCCUGACCAUCACCUACAGCUACAUUUUACAGAUACAAAAUCAUUGUUUGUUCAACUUUCAUAUCAAAGGAUGCUAUUAGUUCAUUUCCAAAGGUGGGAAAAUGUUUCAACUUACUUUAUUACUUGUCUGCUACUUACUAUUUUCCCUCCGUUUGCCUGCCUGACUUCUUUUAACUCUUCACUCAACAAAUAUCUACUGACUACUGAGCACUUGCCAAGUGCUAGGCCAGAGCUGGAUGCUGUACUACGGGCAGAUGAAGUGCUAUGGGCAUCCAGAGGUGGAAGAAGAGGGUAUAGCGAAAGGGGAGAAAAGGCUGCAACAAUAUUCACUGAGCCCUGUGCUCCCAGGUCAUCACAUAGACUAUGUCAUUAUUCCUCCUAACCACCCACAUGAGUAAAUAGGGGCUAUUACUGAAGAAACAGAGGCUUACAAAGGUUGAGCAACUUGCCCAAGGUCAUCUAUCACAAGACACUACAAGUCAGACUGCUGAAGAGGGAGUUUCUGCUGAGAAGCUGAAGUGGGCAGCUCAUAUUGGAUAUGAAGGCUUCAAAGGAAUCUAAAUCCUAAUGAUCCCUCUAGAGCCAACAUGCAGCACCAGUUUUCUCUUCCACAUUUGAACUGCUCAUCCACUUCCGGCUCCAAGACCUCACUCUCCAUCUAAACUAGUCCCACGCCAUCCAUAUCUUUCUCCACUAACGCCACCCAAUCACAACCCCACAGCCUCUUAGUCAUGAGUCAUUUUUUAAAAACUGCAAACCAUGUAAUGAGCCAUGGCAAUAUGCAACCCUAAACCUCAACACGUGUUUUCCACAACAAGGCCACAGGUGGCAGAAGCGAGCCUAAGGCCGUAGGACACUAAGGCAGGACUCUCUGGCUUGAGCUUUCCAAAAAGGGAGGUGAGAGAAGGUCUACCUGCGGGAAGUCAUGCUGAAGGCCUGAGGCUGAGUCAAAGAAGGAGCCCCCUGGAGGCUCUGCAGUUCCUGGACUUCAGGUAGAGGAACUCUGCCAUGAACACCUCUGGAAUCGUGUCAUUUUGGGACAAUUAGAGAAUAUCAGUUUUCAGACUGAGUUCUAUGGGAAGGUGCCUGCACAACAAAGGAGAGACGGAAUGGACUUCAGGUCUUCCAAAAUACCCCUCAUGUUCACCAAGUUGCUCUCUGCUCUAAGAUACCAGAUGAGGGGGCCAGUGGGGACUGAAACCCAGUCCCCAGUCUGCUGGCCAAUCCCUUUGCCUGUGAGGCUGCUCUGUCCUACCAGAGAGGGCACUUUUCAUAAUUUGCACCAAGUACAGAAUAGGAUAGUGUAGCUUUACCCUUCUCCCUACCAUCAACCACAGACACAUCAACACAUGCACACAUACAGCCACACAAAUAUACCUACAGGCAUACACAUACAACACAGGCACAUACAUGUUUGCACAAAGUCACAUGUAGACACAAACGCAGAGCACACAGACACAAACACAGGCACAAACCCAUACUUACACUACACACACACACAAACACACACAGACACACAAAUGCAAAUUAAGCCACAAUGUAGCACAUAGAGAUAUAGACACAGACGCAAAUACAGUCACAUAGAGAUAUAGACACACACUUAUACACACAUAUAUGUAAAUAUACAGUCUCAUUCACUUUAUACCACACAUGUAUAAACAUACACAAUUGUAUGUAGACACACAUACACAUAGGUACUCAGACCGCAUAGAUACAUAUGUACACACAUACAAAUAUAUGCACAUACACAGAUAUAUAUAUACACACAUGCAUCUUUAACCAGAACAACUUUACUUUUGUCAGUUUUAUAUGACAGAGUCUUUAAAAAAAGAUUUCAUCUGGCUUGUGUUCUACUAUUAAAAGAGAAAAUGAAUUUGCUUGUUUCAAGGA
Molecule: non-coding RNA, 6666 nt
Organism: Homo sapiens (human)
Lineage: Eukaryota; Metazoa; Chordata; Mammalia; Primates; Hominidae
Source: RefSeq, a predicted model, not a curated record